Molecule: long non-coding RNA, 866 nt
Organism: Halichondria panicea
Lineage: Eukaryota; Metazoa; Porifera; Demospongiae; Suberitida; Halichondriidae
Exons: 6
Source: RefSeq, a predicted model, not a curated record
CAGGUAAGUGCACAAUACAUAAGCUAGGUAUACCUCCAAGUUUGUGUGCUCAGGUCGUGAGAUUGGUGCAGAAUACACAGAUCUCGUCGUUAGGUAUUCCAUCUUGGCAGACGAUACAGUGAAUAGGUUCAAUUGUUGUGGAUCUCUAUGGUCCGAAUGAGAAUGGUGUGUAUUCAGCUUUACCUCUUUCCCCCUCACCCACCUAAACGCUCUAGUCUUAGCGCUCUAACUUUGGACCAAGUGAGCUGGAGGUGUGCCUUCACGGCUAAGCUGACCCAAUGUCACCUUGACAACAGACCCAUCCUUGAACAGCAUGCCAAAUCAGAAGAACUUGUCAUACGAUUGAACUUUCUGCUCCACUGAACUGAAGUGAGAGGUGUGUCUGGUGAUUUGUUCAAUCAAUAUCAGAGGAGAGAGCGUAGUGUGUCUGGCACAAACUUUCUUGGUGUUUAACAAUUUUGUCACACACAGUGCAAGCGACACUUAAGUUGCCAAUAGCAACUAGAACAAUGUUUGGUGUUGCUUUGAUAUUGUCAAGAUAGUCACUGAGGUGGUCUUCGUGACAGCAAGGGCAGGUAAAGAAUUUCAAAGAGGCAGAGGAAAGCAUUGCUAAAGGGUUAAAACGCCCUUUUGUAAAGACAUUGCAAGUGGCGCUGAGCUCGUUCAAUGUUGAAAAGCAGGCAUAUUAUAACCAUGUUCUCCAAGUAAGUUCUUUAAUAAUAAGGCAAUACCAUUAAACUUUCUAGCCUCACAAGAGAGCUGUGCGACUACUCUCCACCUGUAAUUUCAGCUGCAAACAUUUGAACUAUUUGCGAAAUGUCAUAAGGUGUAUGACAAAUCUUCAGUCACAACAGAAGAAAUCAACA